GAUGAACGCUGGCGGCGUGCCUAAUACAUGCAAGUCGAGCGAACGGACGAGAAGCUUGCUUCUCUGAUGUUAGCGGCGGACUGGUGAGUAACACGUGGAUAACCUACCUAUAAGACUGGGAUAACUUCGGGAAACCGUAGCUAAUACCGGAUAAUAUUUUGAACCGCAUGGUUCAAAAGUGAAAGACGGUCUUGCUGUCACUUAUAGAUGGAUCCGCGCUGCAUUAGCUAGUUGGUAAGGUAACGGCUUACCAAGGCAACGAUGCAUAGCCGACCUGAGAGGGUGAUCGGCCACACUGGAACUGAGACACGGUCCAGACUCCUACGGGAGGCAGCAGUAGGGAAUCUUCCGCAAAGGGCGAAAGCCUGACGGAGCAACGCCGCGUGAGUGAUGAAGGUCUUCGGAUCGUAAAACUCUGUUAUUAGGGAAGAACAUAUGUGUAAGUAACUGUGCACAUCUUGACGGUACCUAAUCAGAAAGCCACGGCUAACUACGUG
This 497-nucleotide ribosomal RNA is filed under the name uncultured bacterium. Its description in RNAcentral is "partial 16S ribosomal RNA". It matches the Rfam family "Bacterial small subunit ribosomal RNA", at positions 28 to 507 of the family's 1533-position model. The record is from RNAcentral.